GGGGUAAUGGCCUACCAAGGCGAUGACGGGUAGCUGGCAUUAGCGUGUGGUCAGCCACACCGGGACUGAGACACUGCCCGGACUCCUACGGGAGGCUGCAGUCGAGAAUCUUUCCCAAUGCCCGAGAGGGUGAGGAUGCGACGCCGCGCGGAGGAUGAAGGUUUUCGGAUUGUAAACUCCUUUUGUUAAGGAAGAAAUCCCUGUGAUGAAUAGUCAUAGGUGCUGACGUUACUUAACGAAUAAGCCACGGCUAAAUCCGUGCCAGCAGCCGCGGUAAUACGGAUGUGGCGAGCGUUACUCGGUAUUACUGGGUGUAAAGGGUCCGCAGGCGGCCAAUUAAGUAAGAGGUGAAAUCUUUCGGCUUAACUGAAAAACUGCCUCUUAUACUGUUUGGCUAGAGGGUACGAGAGGAAAGCGGAACUGCCGGUGUAAGGGUGAAAUCUGUGGAUAUCGGCAGGAACGCCAGUGACGAAGGUGGCUUUCUGGUUUAUACCUGACGCUCAGGGACGAAAGCUAGGGGAGAGAACAGGAUUAGAUACCCUGGUAUUCCUAGCCGUAAACGGGUACUAGGUGUCUCGACCUUAGGUCGGAGCGCCGUAGCUAACGCGUUAAGUACCCCACCUGGGGACUACGGCCGCAAGGCUAAAACUCAAAGGAAUUGACGGGGGCCCGCACAAGCGGUGGAACAUGUGGUUUAAUUCGAUGCUACGCGAGGAACCUUACCAGGUUUUGACAUGCUAGAAGUACUCCGGUGGAAACACUGGGAGACCGUAUCCAAUCGGCGUCUAGUGCAGGUGCUGCAUGGUUGUCGUCAGCUCGUGCCGUGAGGUGUCGCCUUAAGUGGUUUAACGAGCGCAACCCUCGCCUUUAGUUGCCACCCUAAUGAUUCAUUAGGCGCACUCUAGAGGGACUGCCCACGUUAAGUGGGAGGAAGGCGGGGACGACGUCAAAUCAGCAUGGUCCUUAUGUCCUGGGCUACACACGUGUUACAAUGGCGUGUACAGUGGGAGGCUAAGCCGUAAGGUGGAGCAAAUCCCGUAAAGCACGCCUCAGUUCGGAUUGAGGGCUGAAACCUGCCCUCAUGAAGCUGGAAUCGCUAGUAACGGCGUAUCAGCAACGACGCCGUGAAUACGUUCCCGGGCCUUGUACACACCGCCCGUCAAGCGCCGAAAGUGGGGGGCACUCGAAGCUCCGUUUGUUCGGAGUCACAGUGAAUUUCAUGAUUGGUGCUAAGUCGGAACAAGGUA
This 1247-nucleotide ribosomal RNA is filed under the name metagenome. RNAcentral describes it as "bacterial SSU rRNA". It matches the Rfam family "Bacterial small subunit ribosomal RNA", at positions 254 to 1498 of the family's 1533-position model. The record is from RNAcentral.